AGAGUUUGAUCCUGGCUCAGGACGAACGCUGACGGUGUGCUUUAGGCAUGCAAGUCGAACGAGAAAGCCCUUCGGGGUGAGUAAAGUGGCGAACGGGUGAGUAACACGUGGGCAACCUGCCCCUCGCAGGGGGACAACCGGAGGAAACUCCGGCUAAUACCCCGUACGCUUGUGGAGUCGCAUGGCUCCGCAAGGAAAGGUAGCUUCGGCCAUCCGGCGAGGGAUGAGCCCGCGGUACAUUAGCUAGUUGGUGGGGUAACGGCCUACCAAGGCGACGAUGUAUAGCUGGUCUGAGAGGAUGAUCAGCCACACUGGGACUGAGACACGGCCCAGACUCCUACGGGAGGCAGCAGUCGGGAAUCUUGCGCAAUGGGCGAGAGCCUGACGCAGCAACGCCGCGUGAGCGACGAAGGCCUUCGGGUCGUAAAGCUCUGUUGUUGGGGACGAAGGGUUAGGGGUUAAUAGCCCCGAACCUGACGGUACCCUUCGAGGAAGCCCCGGCUAACUACGUGCCAGCAGCCGCGGUAAUACGUAGGGGGCGAGCGUUGUCCGGAAUUAUUGGGCGUAAAGAGCGUGUAGGCGGCCCGGUAAGUCCGCCGUGAAAACUCGGGGCUCAACCCCGGGCUUGCGGUGGAUACUGUCGGGCUAGAGGGUGGUAGAGGGGAGUGGAAUUCCCGGUGUAGCGGUGAAAUGCGCAGAUAUCGGGAGGAACACCAGUAGCGAAGGCGGCUCCCUGGGCCAUUCCUGACGCUGAGACGCGAAAGCGUGGGGAGCAAACAGGAUUAGAUACCCCGGUAGUCC
This 801-nucleotide ribosomal RNA is filed under the name uncultured Rubrobacter sp. Its description in RNAcentral is "bacterial SSU rRNA". It matches the Rfam family "Bacterial small subunit ribosomal RNA", at positions 8 to 796 of the family's 1533-position model. Lineage: Bacteria; Bacillati; Actinomycetota; Rubrobacteria; Rubrobacterales; Rubrobacteraceae. The record is from RNAcentral.